RNAcentral lists this ribosomal RNA (747 nucleotides) under uncultured prokaryote. RNAcentral describes it as "bacterial SSU rRNA". It matches the Rfam family "Bacterial small subunit ribosomal RNA", at positions 721 to 1482 of the family's 1533-position model. The record is from RNAcentral.
GCAGCUUGCUGGACUGUAACUGACGCUGAGNCACGAAAGCGUGGGGAUCAAACAGGAUUAGNUACCNNGGUANNCCACNNNNUAAACGAUGAAUGCUAGCUGUUAGCGAUAUACUGUUAGCGGCACAGAGAAAUCGUUAAGCAUUCCACCUGGGGAGUACGCCGGCAACGGUGAAACUCAAAGGAAUUGACGGGGGCCCGCACAAGCGGAGGAACAUGUGGUUUAAUUCGAUGAUACGCGAGGAACCUUACCUGGGCUUAAAUUGCAGUGGAAUAACGUGGAAACAUGUUAGCCUUCGGGCCGCUGUGAAGGUGCUGCAUGGUUGUCGUCAGCUCGUGCCGUGAGGUGUCGGCUUAAGUGCCAUAACGAGCGCAACCCUCAUCGAUAGUUACUAACAGGUUAAGCUGAGGACUCUAUCGAGACUGCCGACGUAAGUCGUGAGGAAGGUGGGGAUGACGUCAAAUCAGCACGGCCCUUACGUCCAGGGCUACACACGUGUUACAAUGGGGGGUACAAAGGGCAGCUACCUGGCGACAGGAUGCUAAUCUCAAAAACCUCUCUCAGUUCGGAUUGGAGUCUGCAACCCGACUCCAUGAAGCUGGAUUCGCUAGUAAUCGCGCAUCAGCCACGGCGCGGUGAAUACGUUCCCGGGCCUUGUACACACCGCCCGUCAAGCCAUGGGAGCCGGGGGGACCUGAAGUAUGCAACCGUAAGGAGCGUCCUAGGGUAAAACUGGUGACUGGGGCU